This 253-nucleotide ribosomal RNA is filed under the name uncultured Actinomycetes bacterium. Its description in RNAcentral is "uncultured actinobacterium partial 16S ribosomal RNA". It matches the Rfam family "Bacterial small subunit ribosomal RNA", at positions 524 to 776 of the family's 1533-position model. Lineage: Bacteria; Bacillati; Actinomycetota; Actinomycetes. The record is from RNAcentral.
CACGUAGGCACCAAGCGUUGUCCGGAUUUAUUGGGCGUAAAGAGCUCGUAGGCGGUUUAGUAAGUCGGGUGUGAAAACUCUGGGCUUAACCCGGAGACGCCACCCGAUACUGCUGAACUUGAGUUCGGUAGGGGAGUGGGGAAUUCCUGGUGUAGCGGUGAAAUGCGCAGAUAUCAGGAGGAACACCGGUGGCGAAGGCGCCACUCUGGGCCGAAACUGACGCUGAGGAGCGAAAGCGUGGGUAGCAAACAGG